RNAcentral lists this ribosomal RNA (429 nucleotides) under Chloroflexota bacterium. RNAcentral's name for it is "Chloroflexi bacterium partial 16S ribosomal RNA". It matches the Rfam family "Bacterial small subunit ribosomal RNA", at positions 355 to 776 of the family's 1533-position model. The record is from RNAcentral. Lineage: Bacteria; Bacillati; Chloroflexota.
UGGGUAAUAUUGCACAAUGGGCGCAAGCCUGAUGCAGCCAUGCCGCGUGUGUGAAGAAGGCCUUCGGGUUGUAAAGCACUUUCAGCGGGGAGGAAGGCGGUGAGGUUAAUAACCUCAUCGAUUGACGUUACCCGCAGAAGAAGCACCGGCUAACUCCGUGCCAGCAGCCGCGGUAAUACGGAGGGUGCAAGCGUUAAUCGGAAUUACUGGGCGUAAAGCGCACGCAGGCGGUUUGUUAAGUCAGAUGUGAAAUCCCCGGGCUCAACCUGGGAACUGCAUCUGAUACUGGCAAGCGUGAGUCUCGUAGAGGGGGGUAGAAUUCCAGGUGUAGCGGUGAAAUGCGUAGAGAUCUGGAGGAAUACCGGUGGCGAAGGCGGCCCCCUGGACGAAGACUGACGCUCAGGUGCGAAAGCGUGGGGAGCAAACAGG